GCGCUCGUGCUGGAACCGGUAGACAGGCAUGGUUGAGGGCCAUGUGCCCGUAAGGGCGUGAGAGUUCGAGUCUCUCCGAGCGCA
RNAcentral lists this transfer RNA (84 nucleotides) under Chloroflexota bacterium. RNAcentral describes it as "tRNA-Leu". Lineage: Bacteria; Bacillati; Chloroflexota. The record is from RNAcentral. RNAcentral also lists the same sequence under 1 other name.